Molecule: ribosomal RNA, 301 nt
Filed under: uncultured bacterium
Lineage: Bacteria
Description: partial 16S ribosomal RNA
Rfam family: Bacterial small subunit ribosomal RNA
Source: RNAcentral
CAGCCGCCGCGGUAAUACGAAGGGGGCUAGCGUUGUUCGGAAUUACUGGGCGUAAAGGGCGCGUAGGCGGCCAUUCAAGUUAGAUGUGAAAGCCCUGGGCUCAACCUAGGAAUUGCAUUUGAUACUGUUUGGCUUGAGUUCGGGAGAGGUGAGUGGAAUUCCCAGUGUAGAGGUGAAAUUCGUAGAUAUUGGGAAGAACACCGGUGGCGAAGGCGGCGACCUGGUCUUUUACUGACGCUGAGGCGCGAAAGCGUGGGGAGCAAACAGGAUUAGAUACCCCCGUAGUCCCUGUCUCUUAUAC